Molecule: ribosomal RNA, 508 nt
Filed under: uncultured bacterium
Lineage: Bacteria
Description: bacterial SSU rRNA
Rfam family: Bacterial small subunit ribosomal RNA
Source: RNAcentral
CUGGCGGCGUGCCUAAUACAUGCAAGUCGAACGGUCUUUCUAUGGAAGCUUGCUCCACUGAGAAGAUAGUGGCGAACGGGUGAGUAACACGUGGGUAACCUGCCCAUAAGAGGGGGAUAACAUCCGGAAACGGGUGCUAAUACCGCAUAGUUUUCUUGAUCGCAUGAUUGAGAAAGGAAAGACGGCCUUUGUGCUGUCGCUUAUGGAUGGACCCGCGGCGUAUUAGUUAGUUGGUGAGGUAACGGCUCACCAAGACGAUGAUACGUAGCCGACCUGAGAGGGUGAUCGGCCACAUUGGGACUGAGACACGGCCCAAACUCCUACGGGAGGCAGCAGUAGGGAAUCUUCCGCAAUGGACGAAAGUCUGACGGAGCAACGCCGCGUGAGUGAAGAAAGGUUUUCGGAUCGUAAAACUCUGUUGUCAGAGAAGAACAAGUUGGAGAGUAACUGCUCCAGCCUUGACGGUAUCUGACCAGAAAGCCACGGCUAACUACGUGCCAGCAGCCGC